CUAUUCCGAAUCAGAGAUAAGGUUAAACGACAGGCUUUGCCUAACCAGGUGGGCUUACUUUCCAAAUGUACAAAGUAUGAUUGAGUUAUUAAGCUCUAAAUGUUUCAAUGAAAUGCAAAUUGUUUAUUUAAUGUAAUGAAAUGUCACAGCCCGCCCUAACUAUGGAUAGUUAGGCCGAGUGAUCCACGACUAGGGAUGGGGUUAAAGAAGAAGAGGAAGAAAAGGGACGUCAUUUAUAGCCGUAAAACUUACUCAUCUUAAUAAAACUCGUCAUUUUUAUUCAUUAAUACUCAAUUGAAAACAGUCUAUGAAAGACAGCAUAAAACUUAAUUAAUAUCAUUAAUCAAGUUAUACAUCGUAUGAAACCAUUCUCUUAAGACUCAAAGUAUGACAUAACAUACUAUAACAUCAACAACAUCUUGCAGCGGAAAGUAGCUAGACAUAUGUAUGAAGACAUAUUCUAGACAGGUUAACUAUUUAUUAACAACCCUGGAGACUCCGCUCAUUGCAGCACCAUCAUCACAUCAGCUCAACCUGCACAUUUAGAAAACAUAUGCAGGGCUGAGUACAAAAGCACUCAGUGGGCACGUAUGCCUAGGUAUAAAAAUACAUGCUUCAAAACUAUAAAUUGUCAUGCCAUCAUAAUCAGUACAGCAAGGGAGUUUUUCGCUAAAAAGGCCCAAGCUUACUAAGUUCAUUUGUGAUUCUUAAAGUUCGUCUGAUCAGACUAAGUUCUUUUGUAAUCUAUCAUAUCUGGAACUGUGUGCCGGAGAGGUGGCCACCUCUCACGGUCACUUGACCGGCCAACCCGCUAGAUGACUCACGGUCACUGGUGUACACUAGCCCUGGCAGGAUAGCUAUCAACUGCUCAGGACCCGAAUUCGAUUGCAUCAUUGGCAAAGCCAAAGCAGAUAGAUAUCAUACUAAAUUUAAACAUUUUAUGGUACGACAAUAGUUGUAAUAUUUUUCAGUCAAAGAUUUGUCAUGAAAUAACUUGUUCAAAGGUAGCAUUAAACUCGUUUGAUAGAUAUAUAAAACUGAAAUUAACAGUUAAAUCAUCUCAUGCAUUCAUUCGUAUAAGAGGCCUACGACACGCAGGGGAUCUCUAUAUACGUAUAGUAAAAGUAAUGCCCACCUCGUUGUGUCUCUGUAUCAAUGAGUAACGUCACUCUCUCCCUCAAGUCGUUACUUCCCAAAAGGACCUUCAUCGUUAUGAAGAAUUGGUGAGAAGUUAUAAAAGAAACCUCGAUUAAUAAUCUAAUCUCUUUUAUGAAAUAUUAGUAUCUCUAAUGUUCAUCUCUCUUGAUUGUUAAUCAAUAUAACAAUUAUUAUCUCUCGUCAUUACUCAUUAAUUAUAACAUCCUUAUGUUAUAAUUAGCAGCGCUUCAAUUAAAAGAAAUAUUUAACACAUCGAAAAGUCCACUUUCUUAGCAGAUCUAUUCGCUCUCAUCUCGUCUAAUUAACCGAUUAGAAAGUUAAACUUUCCAUUAGGCAUGUAUUUGAGUCACAGGUCAACAAGAAUUGACUAUGCUCAAAUUCUAAUUUCACUAAAAAUUUCGACAUGACCUAUUCAUAUAUAAUGUCAGCCACGAGAUUUCAACGCGUGAAUCUCACUACGUGAACUCGUCUCUCGACUCAAAACUUAACAUCUUGACAUCUUUUCAACGCAAACCAAACAAUUCAAAAUCAUCAAAACUCUUUAUCAGUAAACUAUCAUUUAUACUCGACACCAAUUGUUCGAGUGUCAGAUACCAACAUUUAUGUGCGUUAAUCAUAACUCUCACAACUCACACCAUUUAGUCAUAUCGUAUCAUCCAUCAAAACAAAUAUAAUCAAGUUGUUUUCUAGAAAGUUUUGCUGUUUUUGUGUCAUCUUUAAAAAUUCAUAACAACCAACUCAAUCAUCAUAAACUCUCAUACCAAUUGAUCUCAAAAACUCCAUGAAGUGUAGUUCACUCUAAAAAUGGUAGUUAACCAAAAAGGUUAAAGGUUUUUGGAGAUAUUGCUCUUUUAGUGCAGGCUGUCAAAGAUUGACAGUUUCUGCCAAUUUUGUUUAGGCCAUUAGAAACCAAGGCAAACCUUAAUAAAAUUCCAUCAAAUUUAAUCAUCCAAAACUAAAGGUAUCCUUGAAGAUUUGGUUAAAAUUUCACAAGAGAAAACGUUCAUAUGAUCUGCCAAAUAAACAAUGAAACUCAUACACUUUUACUGUUGGACAAAUAUGACAGCAGAACAGGGCAUUUUUGAAAUAAUAAACUGCUCUGUUUCAGAGGUCAUAAAAAUCGAAAUCUUAUGUUUUUAGAAAAGUAUUGAAGUCUAGUUUACGUUUAAAAAAAACGGUGAUGCAAAAUCUUCAUGGAUUAAUAGAUAUAAACGUUUUUGUGAAGUCUACCAAUAGUUGACAGAUUCUGUCAAGGAUUUUUCAAAAUAUCUUUAAAAUAGCAAACAUCAUCCAAAAGACAUGAAAUUUUGCAGCAACGAAAUACACAUAUCAUAGAUAAACAUACUAAAAUUUCAGAGCCAUCAAGCAAUGAAAACUCAUCGAAACAUAAGCUUGAAACUGCUGUAAAAUUUUGACAGAAUUCCAGUUUUAAUUUCGUUCAACAAUUAUCAUCCAUAAAUUGUAAAUCAAUUAGCAUGCUCAUGUGAUAUCGUUAGAACACAUAUACGCAAUAAUAUUCAUUUAUGCAACGUCUCAACUUCACGAAUUUAAAUAAUCAUACUCUAAAAAUUUAUACAAUUUUCGUGCUUGGAAAAAAAUACGAAUUUAAUAUAUAUCGAUUCUAGCAUACCCCUAAGCACAAAUAUCAAGUCAAAAACGAUCAAACAAAAAAUCGAAAGACAAAGCUAAUAUGUGAAAAACGGGGCUGCCCUCAUGGGUUUCAUAGCUACGGUUCGUUCCGUUCUUACUCCCUUCAUUAAACAUGCUCAACAUCUACCCAAGAACAACAUACUAAAAUUUCACGACGAUCCGACGUCGUUUCAAAAUAAAGUCGAGAAUCGACGUUUUUCGACGUCGACGAAAAUCGAAAAUAAAACCAUCAAAACGUAGGUAAAGAUCUUACCUACUUAGAUACGUGAUCGAAAAGAUGAUCGGCGCUCGUCUCGGUGCUCAAAUCGGAGGUCAAAAGCUCCGUCCAAGCUUAAAUGGAAAAUGGCGUGUGUAGUGUGUGUUUUAGGUGUUGUGUGUGUGAAUAUGUGAGUUGUGUGUGUGGUGUGGGCUGAUAUAGCGUGAGUUAGUGUGUUUGACUGAACUUGGGCGGUUGGGGGGUGGUUUUGGUGGGGUAGGGUUAGAUAUUUAGUCGUUAAAUAUCUCGUCUCGUCUCGUCUCGUCUCGUCUCGUUUUAACGACUAACAACCCAUACUCUUCGUUACUCGCCCUCUCAACCUCUACUCACUUUCAUUACACUCGUAAUUCCAUAUAAAUAUAGAAAACGCAAGCUCGUUCUCGAAAUUCUGAUAAACGAGCUCGGUUCGUUUAUCGAGAAAUCCCGGUUUACUAAUCACUCGUCGUCCAAAAAUAAAAACUUUCAUUAUUGGACUCGUAUCGAAAAACUAAGAAUAUUUUUCGACGACGUGCACGUAAGAUUUUGAAAGUCGACAAAAAGACGAAAUAGCAGUAUUUUACUAUUCAUCGUCAAAAAGUCAAAAUUUUCAAAAACGUCUUAACGGACUCAGAUCUCACUUCCGAGUUCACCGUUCUCAUUCAAAUAAUUAUCUCGAAUUAUUCGAAUACUCAAACUCAAAUACGAAUAUAAAAUCUCACAUCAUUCUUACAUCAUCGAAAGAACAUCUCAACAUUUAAAAAAAAAAAAAAACUUCAUAUAACUCCUCAUCUCUUUACAAAGUAAUCAAACAAGGGAUCUAUACCCUAAUUACUCAAACUUAAGCAAAUAAACACGUCAUCAAAAGCACGGGUAUUACAUGAAAACUGUUUAUCCAAUAAAAUGUUUAUGUGCACUCUGCUCUGUUUAAGGCUCGCACAGUUAAUCAAUUGAGGUUCUCUUAUGACCUAAUACGUUGUUUGAGAAUUGUGUACACUUGUUAGUUGACUCGGUGGGUUGAUCUCCAUCGGGCUCUAACCAGAGGCGUUAUAAGGGUGCUCGGCUGGAUGUGUUCCGGAGCAUGAGAAAUAUCAGGCCUGCCUGGGUAGCGUCCCGAGGUCAAAGUAAACUUGUCUGGGUUACGCCCUCAGUUCAAGUAAGCAGGAGACAGAGAUCCGUCGGUGGCUAAAAGGUCCGGGAUCACAGCGAGUAACAGAAAGGGAGUGUGACAUGUGCGCACAAAUGAAAGAAAUGUUUAACAUGCUUAGAAGUUAUUUUAAAUUAAACCUUCUAAGUCAUGUCUAGUAUGUAUUGGAUAAACUGUUACUUUAAUUAAAAUAUGAGAUGUUUCAGAAAUGCAUGCCACUAAGUACAUUAGUACUUAGCCCAAAAAUACUUUCAAAUGUUUUCAGGUUGGCUGGCUGGUGCUGACGGGACGGAGCUGAGGCUAGCGAUAAAUUCCUAUGUUAGACUUCCGCUGUAGCAAUUACUCAUAUCAGUCUUUUGUUUUUCCCAACUUAAGAUGUUCAUGUUAAAUUUCAAAUGAUAUACCUGACCGAGCUUAGACUCUUCACUACUAAAUUUAUGCCAAUGAAUGUCGG
This 4641-nucleotide long non-coding RNA is filed under the name Salvia miltiorrhiza (redroot sage). RNAcentral's name for it is "long non-coding RNA (SMIL_LNC010511)". Lineage: Eukaryota; Viridiplantae; Streptophyta; Magnoliopsida; Lamiales; Lamiaceae. The record is from RNAcentral.